AUUGCUUCUUGGCCUUUUGACUACGAUCAAGUGUAGUAUCUCUUCUUAUCAGUUUAAUAUCUGAUAUGUCCUCUAACUGACGACAGUAAUUAAAUGGAUUUUUGGAGCCAGGAGAUGGAAUAGGAACAUGCUCUGUCCACUCCACGCAUUGAGCUGACAUUGCAGUACCUCCAGGAAUGGUACACACACA
RNAcentral lists this small nuclear RNA (190 nucleotides) under Castor canadensis (American beaver). RNAcentral's name for it is "U2 spliceosomal RNA (ENSCCNG00000014781.1)". It matches the Rfam family "U2 spliceosomal RNA". Rfam says of the family: U2 is a small nuclear RNA (snRNA) component of the spliceosome (involved in pre-mRNA splicing). Complementary binding between U2 snRNA (in an area lying towards the 5' end but 3' to hairpin I) and the branchpoint sequence (BPS) of the intron results the bulging out of an unpaired adenosine, on the BPS, which initiates a nucleophilic attack at the intronic 5' splice site, thus starting the first of two transesterification reactions that mediate splicing. The record is from Rfam by way of RNAcentral. Lineage: Eukaryota; Metazoa; Chordata; Mammalia; Rodentia; Castoridae.